This is a long non-coding RNA of Drosophila nasuta, 1279 nucleotides long. RefSeq lists it as uncharacterized. Lineage: Eukaryota; Metazoa; Arthropoda; Insecta; Diptera; Drosophilidae. The transcript has 7 exons. The record is from RefSeq and is a predicted model, not a curated record.
UAGAAAUGUGUUUGCGAAAAAAGUGCGUGCAAUUGUGAAAAAAGUUAGCAAAUCGCAUAAAAUGCGUGAUUUACGGCAUCUAAUUAAAGUGAAUUGUAUUACCUACGUUCGCGGCAUGCAGCAUAGAUCGUGGCAAGCGCGUCAAACUAGAAUUGAAAUAAAAACCAGACAAUUGUGCUUAAAUUCAAUGCAAGUACGCGUGCGUGUGUGUGUGUGUGUGAGUGAAGUGCAAGACCAGCUGUAUGUGUGGGUCAAAUGCACGCCAUUUUGGGUGAGCUCAGUUUUCUAAUUGGUCCAAGGCUAUCUUGACAUCAACAUCAUCAUCAUCAUCAUCAUCGAGGGCAAUCAUAAUGUGCCAAGAAAAACUGACAUUUUCUAACCCAAAAAGCCAUGUUUAAUUGCCUUGAUUCGCAACCCUGCUUGACUAAGGUCAUACACUCAGGAUAGAGGGAUGCCACACCCCAGAAGAAGCGCAAAAGCUAAAAACUUUAUCAUUUGCGCACUGGACAUUGGUCAGCAGUGUUGUUGGGAUCGUUCUAGCGUGACGAAAAGGACAUGCGGAAAAGAAAAGAAUACCUUAAGGGUAGCUGCAAGUCAAGCAAAUCAUGCAGCAUGCAGCACGCUGCUCUGUGGUUAUCAACUUUCAAUUGCCGCUGCCAAAUUCUGCUGAGUGUGUCUGAGUUUAGUUUUCGUAAUCGGAUGAGAAAAUGAGAGAGAGAGAGAGAGAGAGAAAGCGCAAGAAGGCGACAAAGUCUGGGAUGGAAAAUGCAGACGAGGCAUUUCAGGAAUCACUGAAAAACUAUUUGCAACUUAUUUAACAACAACAAUUUGCAAUUCAUUGAUCGAUAACAAAGAUGUUUUAUGUAUACGUAACCGGUGACAUCUUUUAUUCUUAUUUAUAUAGAGAAGAAAUUCAGGAAUAUUUCUCAUUUGGUUCUUGAAUAAAAAUAUGGUGGAUGACUACGCUUAUUCUGGAAGAUCCUUUUAGCAAAAGGAUGCUUCGACUUCAACAUUCACAUCCUGGACAUUAACGUGACAUUGUAAUGCUUGAUUCACAUCCUGGACAUUAAUCAUACAUGUAUAUACAUAAUUUGUCAAUUUACAAGUACAGCAUUCAAACGACCUCUAAUCUAAUUGCAUUAAUUGUUGAUAUAAAUACAAAAUAUGUUUUGCCAAAUAAGUAGUGUUAAAAAUUAGCUUAAUAACAAACAAUUGUAUAUUAUAGUAAAAUGCACAGACUUAAAAUAAAUAAACAACACAUUCUCAAUUAAAGAGAAUA